AGCAGUUUAAGAUUCUCCCUGUAAAUAUGACUGAUCUCUUUUUUACCGAACUUCUAAGAACCCAAAAAUUAAUUGGAAAGCAGAAAGAAUCUACAAAAUUUUAUUGACCAGUAAUGACAUUUGGCGAAAGUGUUGUUGAUGCUGGAAUUCUGUUUUCCAUAUUUAUCUCUUUUAGAUGUCUUCCCUGUACAUCUAUUCCUUACGACAAUAACAAAUUGUGCUACGAUUUUGAAAGUAAGGAAGAUGACUCGGUAUUCUCCUCUCGAUAACUUGGAAAACCCCUUUUUGAUUUGCAGUUGCACUCUUGUAUCAAGAAACCAAACUGUUUCUAACCAGAUGUACCCGACGGAGACUACCUUUCAAUCUUCAGAUAAAUUCUAUGUCUUGACACGGUAGCAAUCAAACAAAAGGAGGCUAUGAACAAGGGAAUAUUAGGAUAUUCUUUGUAGAUGGUAAAUUUCUUAUCCUCUAUUAUUUGACAGAUGAAUUUUCAAAGAGAAUAGUACUUAUGGUUAUUGGUGAAGAAUGAGUAGAAGACCGUUAUUUUGAUUUGAAAUAGUGCGAAGUCACUAACUUUCUAGAUAAGUGGGCUUGGAAAAGGAAAUGGCUGAAUGAUUUUAACUUAACUAAUUUGGAGUUGAGUUUACAUGUGAUAGUGAUGUUCAGGCACGCGAGAGGGAAAAUGGAGGAAUCAAUCAGGGAGGGUUUGUAACUAGUUGGGUUUCAUAAGCGGUUUUUGGUGUCUGUAGUGUAUUUCUUUUUUUCAUUGAGAUUGUCGAAACAGAUAAGAUGAAAUUCCAAUAUUUAAGGGGUGUCCCGCAAGCAGGACUAUGUCCUCGAGCUGCUCUAAUGGUAAAGAACUUGAACAUAAUUAAUUUGUUUUAAAAUUAUGCAGGAAACGCCAUACUUGCUAAUUAACCAUGAAUAUUCACCUUU
This 936-nucleotide long non-coding RNA is filed under the name Capsicum annuum. RNAcentral's name for it is "long non-coding RNA (CANN_LNC013756)". Lineage: Eukaryota; Viridiplantae; Streptophyta; Magnoliopsida; Solanales; Solanaceae. The record is from RNAcentral.